RNAcentral lists this ribosomal RNA (253 nucleotides) under uncultured bacterium. RNAcentral's name for it is "partial 16S ribosomal RNA". It matches the Rfam family "Bacterial small subunit ribosomal RNA", at positions 524 to 776 of the family's 1533-position model. The record is from RNAcentral.
UACGUAGGGGGCAAGCGUUGUCCGGAAUCAUUGGGCGUAAAGAGCGUGUAGGCGGCCCGGUAAGUCCGCUGUGAAAGUCCAGGGCUCAACCCUGGGAUGCCGGUGGAUACUGUCGGGCUCGAGUCCGGAAGAGGAGUGUGGAAUUCCUGGUGUAGCGGUGAAAUGCGUAGAUAUCAGGAGGAACACCGGUGGUGUAGACGGCUUUCUGGACCGUAACUGACGCUGAGACACGAAAGCGUGGGUAGCAAACAGG